CGGCUUAACACAUGCAAGUCGAGGGGCAUCGGGACCUAAGCUUGCUUUCUUUGCCGGCGACCGGCGCACGGGUGAGUAACACGUAUCCAACCUGCCCUUUACUCGGGGAUAGCCUUUCGAAAGAAAGAUUAAUACCCGAUAGCAUAAUGAUUCCGCAUGGUUUCAUUAUUAAAGGAUUCCGGUAAAGGAUGGGGAUGCGUUCCAUUAGGUUGUUGGUGGGGUAACGGCCCACCAAGCCUUCGAUGGAUAGGGGUUCUGAGAGGAAGGUCCCCCACAUUGGAACUGAGACACGGUCCAAACUCCUACGGGAGGCAGCAGUGAGGAAUAUUGGUCAAUGGGCGCUAGCCUGAACCAGCCAAGUAGCGUGAAGGAUGAAGGCUCUAUGGGUCGUAAACUUCUUUUAUAUAAGAAUAAAGUGCAGUAUGUAUACUGUUUUGUAUGUAUUAUAUGAAUAAGGAUCGGCUAACUCCGUGCCAGCAGCCGCGGUAAUACGGAGGAUCCGAGCGUUAUCCGGAUUUAUUGGGUUUAAAGGGAGCGUAGGUGGACUGGUACGUCAGUUGUGAAAGUUUGCGGCUCAACCGUAAAAUUGCAGUUGAUACUGUCAGUCUUGAGUACAGUACAGGUGGGCGGAAUUCGUGGUGUAGCGGUGAAAUGCUUAGAUAUCACGAAGAACUCCGAUUGCGAAGGCAGCUCACUGGACUGCAACUGACACUGAUGCUCGAAAGUGUGGGUAUCAAACAGGAUUAGAUACCCUGGUAGUCCACACAGUAAACGAUGAAUACUCGCUGUUUGCGAUAUACAGUAAGCGGCCAAGCGAAAGCAUUAAGUAUUCCACCUGGGGAGUACGCCGGCAACGGUGAAACUCAAAGGAAUUGACGGGGGCCCGCACAAGCGGAGGAACAUGUGGUUUAAUUCGAUGAUACGCGAGGAACCUUACCCGGGCUUAAAUUGCAGUGGAAUGAUGUGGAAACAUGUCAGUGAGCAAUCACCGCUGUGAAGGUGCUGCAUGGUUGUCGUCAGCUCGUGCCGUGAGGUGUCGGCUUAAGUGCCAUAACGAGCGCAACCCUUAUCUUUAGUUACUAACAGGUCAUGCUGAGGACUCUAGAGAGACUGCCGUCGUAAGAUGUGAGGAAGGUGGGGAUGACGUCAAAUCAGCACGGCCCUUACGUCCGGGGCUACACACGUGUUACAAUGGGGGGUACAGAAGGCAGCUAGCGGGUGACCGUAUGCUAAUCCCAAAAUCCUCUCUCAGUUCGGAUCGAAGUCUGCAACCCGACUUCGUGAAGCUGGAUUCGCUAGUAAUCGCGCAUCAGCCACGGCGCGGUGAAUACGUUCCCGGGCCUUGUACACACCGCCCGUCAAGCCAUGGGAGCCGGGGGUACCUGAAGUACGUAACAGCAAGGAUCGUCCUAGGGUAAAACUGGUG
RNAcentral lists this ribosomal RNA (1426 nucleotides) under uncultured organism. RNAcentral's name for it is "SSU rRNA". It matches the Rfam family "Bacterial small subunit ribosomal RNA". The record is from RNAcentral.